Molecule: unclassified non-coding RNA, 414 nt
Filed under: Hevea brasiliensis (rubber tree)
Lineage: Eukaryota; Viridiplantae; Streptophyta; Magnoliopsida; Malpighiales; Euphorbiaceae
Source: RNAcentral
UGCUCUCAAACUUUCUAAGAUGCAAGAAUUCACAGGCCGAUCUGCCCCAACUGUUAUUACAUAGAUGCUCAAUGGUACAUACAAAAGUUGAGAUCUAAUGCCCUUUUGAACUUGAAAAAGUGUGGCUAUGAUAAGUCGUGCUGUGAUAUUAUGAAACGUUUUAAGGAACUUUUUUGAGCGGUUUAUCCUCUUCCUAUAUUUAUCCUACAUAUGCCAGAUACCAAGGGCAUAAGAGCAUAUGUGCUGUAAAACAUGCCGACCUAAAUUUUUGAUGUAAAAAUAAUACAAAAUAUCUCAUUUACCUGGUGUUUAAUGUUAUAUUCUGAGCUUAAAUUCAAUAAAAAUAAUAUGCUGGUUAUAAUAAUUUCUACUUUAUUACAUGCAUUGGUCACUUCAAUUAGUGCUAGAUUUGGG